UGUUCGGAGAGUUUGAUCCUGGCUCAGGACGAACGCUGGCGGCGUGCUUAACACAUGCAAGUCGAACGCUGAAGGCCCAGCUUGCUGGGUUGGAUGAGUGGCGAACGGGUGAGUAACACGUGAGUAACCUGCCCCCUUCUUUGGGAUAACGGUCGGAAACGGCUGCUAAUACCGGGUAUUCACUGUCCUUCGCAUGGGGGGUGGUGGAAAGGUUUUUUCUGGUGGGGGAUGGGCUCGCGGCCUAUCAGCUUGUUGGUGGGGUGAUGGCUUACCAAGGCUUUGACGGGUAACCGGCCUGAGAGGGUGACCGGUCACAUUGGGACUGAGAUACGGCCCAGACUCCUACGGGAGGCAGCAGUGGGGAAUAUUGCACAAUGGGCGAAAGCCUGAUGCAGCGACGCCGCGUGAGGGAUGGAGGCCUUCGGGUUGUAAACCUCUUUCGCUCAUGGUCAAGCCGCAACAUUGGUUGUGGUGAGGGUAGUGGGUAAAGAAGCACCGGCUAACUACGUGCCAGCAGCCGCGGUAAUACGUAGGGUGCGAGCGUUGUCCGGAAUUAUUGGGCGUAAAGGGCUUGUAGGCGGUUUGUCGCGUCUGCCGUGAAAUCCUCUGGCUUAACUGGGGGCGUGCGGUGGGUACGGGCAGGCUUGAGUGCGGUAGGGGAGACUGGAACUCCUGGUGUAGCGGUGGAAUGCGCAGAUAUCAGGAAGAACACCGGUGGCGAAGGCGGGUCUCUGGGCCGUUACUGACGCUGAGGAGCGAAAGCGUGGGGAGCGAACAGGAUUAGAUACCCUGGUAGUCCACGCUAAAACUCAAAGGAAUUGACGGGGGCCCGCACAAGCGGCGGAGCAUGCGGAUUAAUUCGAUGCAACGCGAAGAACCUUACCAAGGCUUGACAUGCACGGCGGCACUGCAGAGAUGUGGUGGCAUUUAGUUGGUCGUGUGCAGGUGGUGCAUGGUUGUCGUCAGCUCGUGUCGUGAGAUGUUGGGUUAAGUCCCGCAACGAGCGCAACCCUUGCCCUAUGUUGCCAGCACGUUAUGGUGGGGACUCGUGGGGGACUGCCGGGGUUAACUCGGAGGAAGGUGGGGAUGACGUCAAAUCAUCAUGCCCCUUAUGUCUUGGGCUUCACGCAUGCUACAAUGGCUGGUACAGAGGGUUGCGAUACUGUGAGGUGGAGCGAAUCCCUUAAAGCCAGUCUCAGUUCGGAUUGGGGUCUGCAACUCGACCCCAUGAAGGUGGAGUCGCUAGUAAUCGCAGAUCAGCAACGCUGCGGUGAAUACGUUCUCGGGCCUUGUACACACCGCCCGUCACGUCACGAAAGUUGGUAACACCCGAAGCCCAUGGCCUAACCGUUUUUCGGGGGGAGUGGUCGAAGGUGGGAUUGGCGAUUGGGACGAAGUCGUAACAAGGUAGCCGUACCGGAAGGUGCGGCUGGAUCACCUCCUUU
This 1445-nucleotide ribosomal RNA is filed under the name Actinomyces sp. RNAcentral describes it as "bacterial SSU rRNA". It matches the Rfam family "Bacterial small subunit ribosomal RNA". Lineage: Bacteria; Bacillati; Actinomycetota; Actinomycetes; Actinomycetales; Actinomycetaceae. The record is from RNAcentral.